Molecule: ribosomal RNA, 428 nt
Filed under: uncultured bacterium
Lineage: Bacteria
Description: partial 16S ribosomal RNA
Rfam family: Bacterial small subunit ribosomal RNA
Source: RNAcentral
GUGGGGAAUCUUCCGCAAUGGACGAAAGUCUGACGGAGCAACGCCGCGUGAGUGAAGAAGGUUUUCGGAUUGUAAACCUCUGUCCUUGGUGACGAAGGAAGUGACGGUAGCCAAGGAGGAAGCCCCGGCUAACUACGUGCCAGCAGCCGCGGUAAUACGUAGGGGGCAAGCGUUGUCCGGAAUGACUGGGCGUAAAGGGCGUGUAGGCGGCCGAUUAAGUCUGGAGUGAAAGUCCUGCUUUCAAGGUGGGAAUUGCUUUGGAGACUGGUUGGCUUGAGUGCGGAAGAGGUAAGUGGAAUUCCCAGUGUAGCGGUGAAAUGCGUAGAGAUUGGGAGGAACACCAGUGGCGAAGGCGACUUACUGGGCCGUAACUGACGCUGAGGCGCGAAAGCGUGGGGAGCGAACAGGAUUAGAAACCCGAGUAGUCC